This is a long non-coding RNA of Mus musculus (house mouse), 476 nucleotides long. RefSeq annotates it as predicted gene 11917. The record is from RefSeq and is marked validated. The transcript is spliced from 3 exons. Lineage: Eukaryota; Metazoa; Chordata; Mammalia; Rodentia; Muridae.
GAGCUUCUGCAUUCCUAAGGAGAUCUCAGGUAGCCCAGGGUUGCUACGUCUCAGGCAGAAGGUGAAUUGCAAUGAUUGAAGGACUUUCUCUUGAAAAAAGAGCAUGCUCCUUCCUUAAGUUUUGCUGUAUUUGUGGAACGAUGGAGAAGGAAGCUGCCUUGUUCCUAACAAAGAGGCCUUAGUCUUGAUUAGGAAACAGAAGUGCUGCAGGUCCCCUCAAUUGACGUCGCUGCCGGAACAAAUGCAUUUUCUCAGGGAGAAGAUGCAAAAGAAAUAUUUUCUCCAUGUUCUGAAGCUUUCACUGAAAUUAUGAAAAUAUGACAAGGAUUACAUUGAAAAUAACUAAGUUUGGAUCCUUCAACUUUACAUUGAAGACAUUUCACAAUAUUAGAUAUGAAGUGGGUGACCAGCAAUAAUCACAGAUAAGAUUUCAGUGGGGAAAAAAGAUUAUCCUGACUCUCAUGGAGAAGUAAAGU